UACGUAGGGACCAAGCGUUGUUCGGAUUUACUGGGCGUAAAGGGCGCGUAGGCGGCGUGACAAGUCACUUGUGAAAUCUCCGGGCUUAACUCGGAACGGUCAAGUGAUACUGUCGGACUAGAGUACAGAAGGGGCAACUGGAAUUCUACGGUGUAGCGGUGAAAUGCGUAGAUAUCGAGAGGAACACCAGUGGCGGAAGGCGGUACUCUGGGCCGGAACUGAACGC
Molecule: ribosomal RNA, 226 nt
Filed under: uncultured bacterium
Lineage: Bacteria
Description: partial 16S ribosomal RNA
Rfam family: Bacterial small subunit ribosomal RNA
Source: RNAcentral